This 73-nucleotide transfer RNA is filed under the name Desulfobulbus sp. Tol-SR. It matches the Rfam family "tRNA". Rfam says of the family: Transfer RNA (tRNA) molecules are approximately 80 nucleotides in length. Their secondary structure includes four short double-helical elements and three loops (D, anti-codon, and T loops). Further hydrogen bonds mediate the characteristic L-shaped molecular structure. tRNAs have two regions of fundamental functional importance: the anti-codon, which is responsible for specific mRNA codon recognition, and the 3' end, to which the tRNAs corresponding amino acid is attached (by aminoacyl-tRNA synthetases). tRNAs cope with the degeneracy of the genetic code in two manners: having more than one tRNA (with a specific anti-codon) for a particular amino acid; and 'wobble' base-pairing, i.e. permitting non-standard base-pairing at the 3rd anti-codon position. Lineage: Bacteria; Pseudomonadati; Thermodesulfobacteriota; Desulfobulbia; Desulfobulbales; Desulfobulbaceae. The record is from Rfam by way of RNAcentral.
GGGCCGUUAGCUCAAUUGGUAGAGCAUCUGACUCUUAAUCAGCAGGUCCCCGGUUCGACUCCGGGACGGCCCA